AUGAGCGACUUGGCGAUUGGAAUCGAUUUGGGUACUACGUACUCCUGCGUUGGUGUUUUUCGGCAUGGAAAAGUUGAAAUUAUUGCGAACGAUCAAGGUAAUAGAACUACGCCGAGUUAUGUCGCUUUUACGAAAACCGAAAUCUUGGUUGGAGAGCCAGCCAAAAAACAGGCCACUAGAAACCUACGUAAUACAGUUUUCGAUGUCAAGAGACUGAUGGGUCGUAAAUUUAAUGAUGAUAAGGUUCAGGCCGACAUAAGGCAUUGGCCCUACCAGCUCAUUGACGAUAACAACAACCCGAAAAUCAAAGUUGAAUUUCAAGGCAAGUCAAAAACGUACUGCCCGGAAGAAAUUUCAUCGAUGGUAUUGCGAAAAAUGAAAGAGACAGCUGAAGCAUAUCUAGGUAAAACUGUCAAGAAUGCUGUUAUAACUGUACCUGCCUACUUUAACGAUUCUCAAAGAGCAGCUACCGUAGAUGCCGCUAAAAUCGCUGAUUUAAACGUGCUACGUAUCAUUAAUGAACCUACUGCUGCCGCAAUUGCUUACGGCCUAGAGGAAAAAAAUUCCGACGUGCAAAACGUGUUGAUUUUCGAUCUCGGUGGCGGAACUUUCGAUGUGUCCAUUUUAACACUCCAGAACGGUGUUUUCGAAGUGAUUUCAACUGCCGGUGACACUCACUUGGGUGGCGAAGAUUUUGAUAACAAAAUGGUCAACUAUUUCGUUGAAAAAAUCAAACGUAAUAAAUACAAUAAAGAUCUCUCGGAAAACAAGAGAGCCCUGCACCGUCUGCGAGUUGCUUGCGAAGGAGCGAAGAGAACUUUAUCAUCAGCCACCGCAGCUGAUAUAGAUGUUGAGUCUCUUUUCGAUAGUGUCGAUUUCUACAGCCCAAUCUCUCGUGCUCGUUUUGAAGAACUAAACUCGGACUUCUUCAAAAGUGCAAUGGAGCUAGUUGAAAAAGCUAUCCACGAUGCUAACAUGAACAAAUCUAAAAUCGAUCACAUCGUUUUAGUCGGUGGUUCAUCGCGUAUCCCAAGAAUUCAAACAAUGUUACAAGAUUUCUUCGACGGAAAGGAACUGAGCAAAUUGAUUAAUCCCGACGAGGCAGUAGCGCAUGGAGCUGCUGUACAAGCUGCCAUACUAAACGGUGUCACGUCGAAGGAGGUAGAAGGCUUGGUGUUGAUGGAUGUUACACCAAUAUCCUUAGGAGUCGAGGCUAAACCAUUUUACGAUAACAGAGGUGAUCUUAAAAUGGCUGUGGUUAUUAAACGUAACACUCCAAUUCCAGCCAGACAAACUAAACCUUUUCCAACAUGUAUGGAUUAUCAAACCUGUAUGUUGAUUAAAGUAUUGGAAGGCGAGUAUGAUCUCGCGAAGGAUAAUCAUUUGCUGGGUGAAUUUAUACUUACUGGAAUCCCUUCUAAACCCGUUAUGGAAGCUAAAGUUGAUGUAACCUUCGAAAUCGAUGCUAAUGGUAUAUUGAACGUAACUGCCGUCGAAACGUCUACCGGUGUAUCAAACCAACUGACCAUCACCUACGAUAAUGGUCGUCUCAGUAAAGAUGAAAUUGAGCGUAUGAUCGAAGACGCUGAAAAAUUACGAUACGAAGAAAAAAAACGAAAAGCUGCUUUACUCGCCAAGGAUGCUUUACAAACAUACUGUGUUGGCGUGAAGAGCACAGUAGAAGAUGAAAAAUUGAAAAGUAAAAUUGAUCGAUCUGAUAAAGACGUGAUUUUGAAAAAAUGCGAAGAAACCAUCUCCUGGUUGAAUUCUGACAAAUCAGCUGGAAAAGAGCAGUACGAAAAUAAGCAGAAAGAGUUACAAAAAAUAUUCGAUAUAAUUAUCUCGAUAGCUCGCUAUCCUACUAAAGAAAGCGACAAAUAUCGUGAAAUGUUAAACGUGACUAAAGAUGCCUCCGAAGAUGAAAUAAAAAAUUCCUUCAGGGAAAUAGCUUACAAAUACCAUCCCGACCUAUACCAAGGAGACAAGGAAAUAGGAAAACUGUAUUGGUUGACUUUCACGAGAGCGAAAACUUCCCUCAUCCAACUAGUAAAUGCAAUGCGAGGUAAAAACACCACCACAUGAAUGUAUAUUCGAUGAAUUCAAGUAGAAGAUACUUCCACAUUUUCCCGAUUUCUACUUUAUCUUCUACACUUCGAGAUUUAAUUUUGAAUUUUUUCUAAUGAUUUUAUCGGAGGCGCAGAUUUGGAUUUUAUGUCUGACGAGUUUAUAGGCGAUUAAAUCAACGGUACAUCUGUAAUAAUUGGUUUACAAUUUUUUUUUUUUUUUUUUUUUUUGUUAAAUAUGUUCUAUUGAGGUAUUUGAGGUACCUACCUACCUUUUUAUUGUUUUUAUUUUGUAUUAUUUGUUUUUAUAUGUUGUUUUUUUUUAAAGAUGGGUACGUAGGUAUAUAUAUGGUAAUUAUUACGAAUGAAAAUAUACGAGUAAGUAGGUACAUAUGUUCAAUACCAGUUCCUACAUAAGUACUUGAGAAUUGUAUUACGUAUAGUGUCUAUAUAUGUAGUUUUACGUUACCUAGUGUACAAGUGUAUCAUCUUGAAAUGCAUUUCUUGAAAAUUUUUUACAUGAAUAAUGUUUUUUAAUCCAGAAUUAUCAUUUUCUAUAUUGGUUGAUGUGAUGAAGAGCAGAAUGAAGAAGAGGGUAGUUCAUCAAAAGAAUUGAAGUGCUUCAAGUU
This is an RNA transcript of Planococcus citri (citrus mealybug), 2692 nucleotides long. It is a transcript of the gene named heat shock 70 kDa protein II-like, with no coding region annotated. NCBI's taxonomy places the organism in Eukaryota, Metazoa, Arthropoda, Insecta, Hemiptera, Pseudococcidae. The record is from RefSeq and is a predicted model, not a curated record. The transcript has 7 exons.